UACGUAGGAGACGAGCGUUGUCCGGAAUUACUGGGCGUAAAGCGCGUGUAGGCGGGCGUGCAAGUCUGCUGUGAAAGCUCCUGGCUUAACCGGGAGUGGUCGGUGGAAACUGCACACCUGGAGGACGGUAGAGGUAGGUAGAAUUCCCGGUGUAGUGGUGAAAUGCGUAGAGAUCGGGAGGAAUACCUGUGGCGAAGGCGGCCUACUGGGCCGGACCUGACGCUGAGACGCGAAGGCGUGGGGAGCGAACGGG
This 253-nucleotide ribosomal RNA is filed under the name uncultured bacterium. RNAcentral's name for it is "partial 16S ribosomal RNA". It matches the Rfam family "Bacterial small subunit ribosomal RNA", at positions 524 to 776 of the family's 1533-position model. The record is from RNAcentral.